CAAUGGAGAGUUUGAUCCUGGCUCAGGACGAACGCUGGCGGCGUGCUUAACACAUGCAAGUCAAGGAGAACGUUCCGCUUGCGGAACUAUUAAACUGGCGAACGGGUGAGUAACGCGUAGACA
Molecule: ribosomal RNA, 123 nt
Filed under: Fidelibacterota bacterium
Lineage: Bacteria; Pseudomonadati; Fidelibacterota
Description: partial 16S ribosomal RNA
Rfam family: Bacterial small subunit ribosomal RNA
Source: RNAcentral